RNAcentral lists this long non-coding RNA (3627 nucleotides) under Pan troglodytes (chimpanzee). RNAcentral's name for it is "long non-coding RNA NONPTRT000687". The record is from RNAcentral. Lineage: Eukaryota; Metazoa; Chordata; Mammalia; Primates; Hominidae.
UAGGUUUUGGAAGUAAAGAGGGCAGAGACAUCAGGAGCAGGGCAAGGGAAUAGGCCUGAGAGGACAAGGGACGCAGAACAAGAAAGAGUCUGGAAUUAUACACAGGAUGUUCUUGGCCUCCGGGCUCACCGAGGGGGCAGAGACUGGCAAGUGCAGGGAGCAGAUCCCGGAGUCCCCCAGGCCAGCCGAGCCCCACCCCAGGCCCCCCAUCAGAGCCCAGUGAAGAGAAGGUACCAUGAGGGGAAGCCACAGCUCUAACCACCCUGCGUUCCAGAGUGACAGACCAGUCCCCAAGACAAGCCAGCCUGGAGCCAGAGAGAGAACUUCUAGGGGAAGUUUCUAAUGUAGGUUCCUGUUAGAUUCAGACAAGUGCAGGUCAUCCUCUCUCCACAGCUACCGUCACCCGUCUCCAGCCUAACAAAGCCUGCAGUCCAUACCCCAACCCUGGUGUCUCCCACCUCCUAGCCUCUCCCAACAUCUCCUGCCGUCUCUGAUCAUCUUCUGCCAUCCUCUGCCAUCUCCCACCAUCUCCCACUGUCUCCCACAGCCUCCCACCGCCUCUUGCCAACUCCCACCAUCUCCCACCAUCUUCUGCCAUUUUCUGCCAUCUCCCGCUGUCUCCCACCAUCUUCUGCCAUACUCUGCCCUACCCAUCUUCAAAGAACAGAAUAUACUGGGCCACAUCAGGCAAUACUGUGAGGGCAGGACUGAGUCCAUGGGUGCAGCUGCUCAGAGCUCAGCAAAGUCAUUGGCCUGGAUGGUGGAGAGCUUGGGGACAGGUCACGCUUCCCCCAGCCUCCCCCCAUCCAUGAUGCCCACCGGACCUUCGAGGGUCGCCCUCAUCCAAGGGACCUGGGACAGCCUGCCGCCUCUGUUGACUGCAAGGAAGCUGGGACAUGCAGUCUUGAUGCUAGGUGGCCACAGGCUCAAUAAAAAUUAUUUUACUCUGGAAGGAGGGAGAACUACUGUGAGUUUACCAGGAAAGCUUCUGCUCACAUAUAUCCAGGAAGAAUCUGACCUUCAAGACGAUUGAGAGCUAAACAAAAAAUCAAACAGCAGCAGCAUGGUUAACAACAUGAAGCAACCGUGACCAUGAGAACAGAAACAGGCAAGAAAACACUUAUGUGUCAGCAAAGGACACAGGCAGGGUGAAGGUGGACAGUUCAAAAACAAAAGAAACAGCAGAAGGUACUGGCUUUGCAAAAUCAAACACCAGUCUCACAGAAGAGCAGCCAAGGAACAAAAGCAAUUGUACCUCAUUUAAAUCACCACAUUAGUUUCAUAGCCUGUGAGCGCAGCUAAAUGGAACAAUCUAAUGCUUAGCAAUGAGUUUGUUUGUUCAUGUAACUUCAGGUUUCAAGAUGCCCUGUCAACUCCACCAAGUCAUCGUUGCUCGGUUUGCAGAUGACCAGCUCAUCAUCGAUUUUGAUAAUUUUGUUCGGUGUUUGGUUCGGCUGGAAACGCUAUUCAGUAAGUGGAUAUUUGGGGAAUGAUUCAUUUCUGUUCUCUUGAUAUUAAAGUGGCCUGCCUUUCACCUCGGUGAAAUCAUCUAAACUAGAGACAUGUCUUCCAGGAGUUGAGAAUGAAAUUCCCUCUUUACUAAUUUGAGGGUGAGGAAGAAAGCAUGUAUGGUGGUCAAUGAAGUCAGCUGCUGAACUGAAAAGAGGAUAAUGUGAUCUGUUUCAGCUCACUCACUUGUGACACCCUCUUUUUCUCCCUCCACAGAGAUAUUUAAGCAGCUGGAUCCCGAGAAUACUGGAACAAUAGAGCUCGACCUUAUCUCUGUGAGUCAGCAGCUCGUGCCCCCGCCUUGCUUCUAAGGGGAUGGGGGAGGCAUGGGGCGGAAAGGGCUGUUACUUGAGUGAUCUGCUUUUUCAAGUUUUGCUUUAAAGAGCUCUUGGUCUGUCGGGGCCAGGCCUGUAACCGGUUGUAAGAUCCCACAAUGCACUUUUACUUGCAGUUGUUUUCCAACCACCUAUUCUCAAGUCCAAAAUGCACGCCUGGCUCCCUCUUCCCAUGAGCUUUGACUUGAGUGUAGCUCAAGGUUAAACUAAGGAGUGGCUGCAGGAUCAUGCUUAGAAAAAUGAACUCCUGAUUAGCAUGCAAGGGAGAACAUGUUUAUAUAAAGAAAUCCUUCAGCUGAAAUUCAAGUUGGGUUUUGGGAAGAUCCAUCAUUCUUAGAAGGGAUCUACUUAAAAUACUUUAAGCAAAUUAGUUUUCUCUACUCCCUCCCCGUUUAAGAUAAAACCAAUACUAGUAAAUACGUUUGCCAUUUUUUAUUAUUAUUGCACUCAUGUGUCUGGAACCCUAGCAAUACACAUCUCUGAAAUGAUCAUCAAUCUGAAUUAAGUGGGUAUGCUAAUUUCACAAAAAGCAAAGCGUAAAAUGUUCUCGUGUCAUCCCAAUGACAGGAAGUUCUCUCACUGAAAGAAAGAAGCCAGGUGGGGUAUACUUCCAUUAUCAAACAGUUAAUCACAUGGUUAACUAUUAUAUAAUUUCUAAAAAUAUGAGGUCCCUCCACCCCUCCACACUUCUCAUCUCAUGGUUUAAAAUUAAGUGACACCUGUGCAAGACCACCAGCUGUGGUUAUGAGGAAUGUCUCAAAUUUCCUGUCUAGGGUACUAUAAAGUUUACUCUGGAUUCUCUGGAGUUUGGGUUCCCCCCACAACCUGCCUUCUCUUUAAGGAAAGGCAACUGAAAUCUAGCACCUCUUGCUACUUAUAUGAGCAACUCUGUUUCUGGAAAGGAGGUUGUACAGCUUUUGGCAAACAGCUACGGUCUACCUGCAGCUCCUUAUAGAGGCGAUCAAGCUCAGCCACUGCAGACUGAUUGUCAUGGUGGCCGUCGAUCCUGCCGUUCUUGAGCAUCUCUAGCUGCCUGGUCAGUUCUUCUACUUUUGACACAGCCAGGACGAGCUCCCUCUGUUUUUGCUGGAACAAAUUAUUCAUCUGUUCAAUUUCCUCCACUAGAUGAGACAGAGAACAGCAACAACAGUUGAAAAGAAAAAUAAGAAUGGACUACUUCCCAGGCAACCGGGCUUUACAAUGAACUUUCUAAUAAACAGCAGAAAAAUUUUUCAGAAUGUCCUGGAAGCAACCGACUUCUUUUAGAAGCAAGUGAAAUCAACAGAGACAUCUCUAAAUCUCUGUGCUUCAAUAUCAAUGUAUCUUUAUCAGAAUUUGCAUUAAAAAUAUUAUUAAACUCCAAAUUUUAGAAACAAUAAAAAUUUCUUUAGAACUUUCAAUUUUAUAACAUUAGGUGGAUCUAUUAAACCACAAACAUUCUGAUUAAAAUGGUAUCGUAAUAGAUGGAGCUAUUAUAUGAACAAAAAUCCUUGACUUCAUCAAAUUCUCAGUCAAAAAAUAUUAAGGGGAAAAAAUGCUACAUUUUCCAAAGGUAUCUUAGAAAUCCUGUAUAAAACAUUCAACAGCUGAAUUCAAUUCAGAGGAACCUGCAGCAUCAAAACUGCAGUAAAUUAUAUUUUUUCAAAAGAUACCCUUUAAAGUUAUCUACAGAUCAACCAUGGUGGCUUGCACCUGUAACCCCAGCUACUCAGGAGGCUGAGGUGGGAGGAUCACUUGAGGCCACGGUUCAAAAGACCAGCCUGGGCAACGCAGUAAGACCCUG